Molecule: small nuclear RNA, 184 nt
Organism: Spea bombifrons (plains spadefoot toad)
Lineage: Eukaryota; Metazoa; Chordata; Amphibia; Anura; Pelobatidae
Product: U2 spliceosomal RNA
Exons: 1
Source: RefSeq, a predicted model, not a curated record
AUCUCUUCUCUGCCUUUUAGCUAAGAUCAAAUGUAGUAUCUGUUCUUAUCAGUUUAGUAUCUGAUAUGUUCCCUAUCUGGGGAUCAUGUUGUUAAUGGAUUUUUGGGCAUGUUGAUGGAUGAAGAGCUUGCUCUGUCCACUCCAUGCCUUGACCUGGUGUACCUUCCGGUUUGUUACAUCUGCA